RNAcentral lists this small nuclear RNA (196 nucleotides) under Myotis davidii. Its description in RNAcentral is "U2 spliceosomal RNA". It matches the Rfam family "U2 spliceosomal RNA". From Rfam's summary of the family: U2 is a small nuclear RNA (snRNA) component of the spliceosome (involved in pre-mRNA splicing). Complementary binding between U2 snRNA (in an area lying towards the 5' end but 3' to hairpin I) and the branchpoint sequence (BPS) of the intron results the bulging out of an unpaired adenosine, on the BPS, which initiates a nucleophilic attack at the intronic 5' splice site, thus starting the first of two transesterification reactions that mediate splicing. The record is from Rfam by way of RNAcentral. Lineage: Eukaryota; Metazoa; Chordata; Mammalia; Chiroptera; Vespertilionidae.
AUCGCUUCUCGGCCUUUUGGCUAAGAUCAAGUGUAGUAUCUGUUCUUAUCAGUUUAAAAAUAAUAAAUUCUAGGUAGAUUGUACCAGGAAUGUGGAAAGUAAACCAAUGAAGCUUAUCUAAGACUAGAGGCCCACUGCACGAAAUUCAUGCAAAGGGCUCUGCCCUCGCAGUCACGGCGGCUUGCCUCGGCCCUCA